Perca fluviatilis (European perch) is the source of this 2660-nucleotide RNA transcript. RefSeq lists it as uncharacterized. Lineage: Eukaryota; Metazoa; Chordata; Actinopteri; Perciformes; Percidae. The record is from RefSeq and is a predicted model, not a curated record. The transcript has 14 exons.
AGUUACAAGAGAGGAUGGAGAGGGAUGAGGCUUCAACCCACGAGCCCAAAGUGGGCAAAUCAGGGCACAAAUGUCCAAUUUGUGGGCUUGAGUACAAUGAUUUGAUGCAACACCUGAAACUAGGUGAACAGGUGUGCAACAAAACCGAACUGAACCUUCUCUGCAAGUUGUCACACAGACAUUUCUCGGCCAACUUGGAUUGCCCGGUCCGACUGUGCGACUCCAGGAAAAUAAACAGGCUGGACAAGCACCUGCAGAGAGUGCACAAGCUGGGGAACAAUAUGGUGACAUUAUACAUCCAAAAGGCAAAGGACCGUCACAUUGCGCGACAACUGGCGUUGCUGAGGGCGUCCAAACCCUACCCACCGAUGGUAUCCCAUCUCGAUGAGAUCGAUGAAGCAGCGAUAGAGGAGGGGAUCAGGAGGAAGUUCGAGGACCCUUCAUCAGUCCCACAUGACAGUGAGGUCGUGGCCCUCUCCGCUGCUAAGCCGUUUGAAACUCCUUCCGCCAGUGCGACGCCGUUGAACAAACCUGCCAGCCGUUCACCGAGAAAAACGUUGUUUAGGAGGAACAAGCCGGUUGUGAGGACUCCGCCCCCCCGAUGCAAGAACUGUGUGAUCCUUGCUGUUGAGCUGCAGGUGGUGAAAGAGCUGCUGGAAGCCGAAAUAGAACGGAGUGACGAACUAAAACAGUUGCAUUCUUCAACCAAUCGAGAAAAGGCAGUGAAGCACAAGAGGCACAAGCCCUUUUCACCAUCGAAAGCGCCGCAAUACGUUAAACUGGUAGAGGAGUUCAGGGAGCACACGGAAGGAAGCAAUCCCACGCGGAAAAUAAGGGAGAAUGCCCGCCAGCGAGCUAACCACGUCCUUUACUUUCUGACGUUCAUGUCCAAGCCCGCUGUUCCACAUGUGAACCUUCUCUUUCUGAAGGACUACGGUCGGAUCAGGAGAUUUGCAGCCCAUCUGGCUGACAACAACUUCAAACCGACGACCAUAAAAAGCUACCUGACGGAUGCCGUUGCGUUUCUGAAGUAUGUUACCAGUAUGGCGCCAGAAGGGGUGAAAAUAGGCGUGAAAAGCCUAAAUGCGCUGGCAGUGGAACUCCAGGCGAGGAUUAGGGACGUGGCGAGAGCUGUGCUAGGGCAACAACUGGCCCAGCGCCGCAAAAAGUCCGUUGAACUGGUGGAAGCGACUGAUCAUGCGUGGUUUGUUAAAAACGCACCAGCAAAGAUUUCUGCUGCACUCGAUUCUCUUGAGAAACAUCCAACAGACAAAAAGAGGCAGAGGAUGUUUUUCGGGCUCCUGAGUGGUUACAUCGUGGCGGUGACUGGGCACAGAAAAGGCGCCGUGGUCAACAUGACGCGGAAAGAGGUCAAAGCAGCAGAUAAAUUAAAAAAUGGCGAUCGCAUCAUACGGGUGGAACAGCACAAGACGGCUCGCUACUUUGGGCAGGCGGCCAUACCGCUGACAAAAAAGGAGUACUCCUGGUUCCUCCGAUACAACUGUCUCCGGUCUCGCAUAGAGGGAGGUCUAGAGGCAGAAACAUUCUUUCACACUUCCAGCGGCUCGGAGUGCCUCAAGCUCCCCGAAUACUUCAAGGAGGCGUGGGAGUGGUUGGAGUUGGGAAAGGCUCCGAGCUUCAACCUCCUCCGUUCCUCUGUGGCUACUUAUUCAAAGAGGCAACUGGGCUCGAAGGCGUACAGACGAGUGGCGGCCUUCAUGUGUCACGAUGAGCACACGGCCAAGAAGUUUUAUCACGCGGAAGACCCGGCAGCUGAGGUGUUUAAAAGCCGAAAUCUAUCCGUCAUGGCGAUCUCCACUUAUGCUGUCAAGAACAAUAAAAAAGCAGACACCCAGGACCGCAGAGCCACAGAGGACACGGAGGAGGACGAGGUGGAGGACCGGGACAGUGUGGAGGACCAGGAGGAGCAGGAUAUGGGAGAGGAGGAGGAAGAAGAAGAAGAAGAACGGGACUCAGAGGAUGAGGGAGAGUACCAAGAAAUGGAGGAGGAAGAGCGGGACCCAGAGGAGGAUGGUGCAAAUGAACACCCAGACAAGGAGCCUAAAAUAACUAGGCCAAGUUGUCCGAUAAGAAAGCGUCCCUCCAAGUCUGAAGCGGAACAGAAGAGAGACUCCUCCAAACCUCCUCUCCCUAAAAGGCCCAAAAGGGAUGGAAAGUGCCUUUUCAAAAACCGAUAGGGAGCAGCACUGAGAGACCGACUCCACCCUUAGUCCCUGACAGCCUGGUUCCUCUGAGUCCGGUUGAAGUCAAAACACCGAUUAAGGACAGAUUUCCUGUGGCAGUCCCAGAUGGCUCUCUUGGAGAACAACAAGGAGAGGAGGCUGAGGAGAGGGCUCCGUUGGAAGAAGAUGCAGAGGGUCUGGUGGAGGUUGCGGUGGAGGUGAAGGGUCUGUGGGAAGACAGUUCAGAUUCUUUGAACUGCCAGCCAGGCAAAUGGAGCCUGAGGAGAGCUUUAGUUUUAUUUUUAUUUUUUUUGCAUUGUUUGUGCCACCGGAGGCUGAAUAAACUGCAGAUGCAAAGAACCCUGGAUGACGAGGAUAAACAAUGUGUGGACAACACUGUUCUUUCUGUUCAUUUGAUUGUUGUUUUAUAUGGUUUGUGCUACCAGCCUAGAGGCUGAGGAGAGGGCUCUGUGUAUA